RNAcentral lists this long non-coding RNA (210 nucleotides) under Citrus sinensis (sweet orange). RNAcentral describes it as "long non-coding RNA (CSIN_LNC002098)". Lineage: Eukaryota; Viridiplantae; Streptophyta; Magnoliopsida; Sapindales; Rutaceae. The record is from RNAcentral.
AUAGAUUAACUUCCAAAAAAUAUAUUUAUAACCAUGUAAUAUGUACAUUUACAUGUGCUAGGGUAACAUUUUACCCGAGCACACAUCAAAAAAAUAGUUCACAUGAUAUGUUGUUGCCACCCAAUUGGCAUCUACCAAAAAUAUGUACAUAAUUGUACAAUACUCCAAAAGCCAACAUUUACAACAAAAAAUCAACAAAAAAAUACAAUC